This 700-nucleotide ribosomal RNA is filed under the name uncultured bacterium. Its description in RNAcentral is "bacterial SSU rRNA". It matches the Rfam family "Bacterial small subunit ribosomal RNA", at positions 73 to 716 of the family's 1533-position model. The record is from RNAcentral.
GGGGGCGUAAUGAGAUAAUAGUAGGGUCUAUGCAGUCGACGGACUGUACUGAACCUAGUGAUUUACAGGUUAGUGGCGGACGGGUGAGUAACGCGUGGAAAACCUGCCGUAUACUGGGGGAUAACACUUAGAAAUAGGUGCUAAUACCGCAUAAGCGCACAGGCCCGCAUGGGACAGUGUGAAAAACUCCGGUGGUAUACGAUGGUUCCGCGUCUGAUUAGCUUGUUGGCGGGGUAACGGCCCACCAAGGCGACGAUGCGUAGCCGACCUGAGAGGGUGAACGGCCACACUGGGACUGAGACACGGCCCAGACUCCUACGGGAGGCAGCAGUAGGGAAUCUUCGGCAAUGGGCGAAAGCCUGACCGAGCAACGCCGCGUGAAUGAAGAAGGCCUUCGGGUUGUAAAAUUCUGUUAUAAGGGAAGAAAGGUGAUAGGAGGAAAUGACUAUCAAUUGACGGUACCUUAUGAGAAAGCCACGGCUAACUACGUGCCAGCAGCCGCGGUAAUACGUAGGUGGCAAGCGUUAUCCGGAAUUAUUGGGCGUAAAGAGCGCGCAGGUGGUUAAUUAAGUCUGAUGUGAAAGCCCACGGCUUAACCGUGGAGGGUCAUUGGAAACUGGUUGACUUGAGUGCAGAAGAGGGAAGUGGAAUUCCAUGUGUAGCGGUGAAAUGCGUAGAGAUAUGGAGGAACACCAGUGGC